CAGCCGCCGCGGUAAUACGGAGGGAGCUAGCGUUAUUCGGGAUUACUGGGCGUAAAGCGCACGUAGGCGGCUUUGUAAGUUAGAGGUGAAAGCCUGGAGCUCAACUCCAGAAUUGCCUUUAAGACUGCAUCGCUUGAAUCCAGGAGAGGUGAGUGGAAUUCCGAGUGUAGAGGUGAAAUUCGUAGAUAUUCGGAGGAACACCAGUGGCGAAGGCGGCUCACUGGCUCGAUACUGACGCUGAGGUGCGAAAGCGUGGGGAGCAAACAGGAUUAGAUACCCGGGUAGUCCCUGUCUCUUAUAC
This 301-nucleotide ribosomal RNA is filed under the name uncultured bacterium. RNAcentral describes it as "partial 16S ribosomal RNA". It matches the Rfam family "Bacterial small subunit ribosomal RNA", at positions 509 to 807 of the family's 1533-position model. The record is from RNAcentral.